RNAcentral lists this ribosomal RNA (194 nucleotides) under uncultured bacterium. Its description in RNAcentral is "partial 16S ribosomal RNA". It matches the Rfam family "Bacterial small subunit ribosomal RNA", at positions 1307 to 1500 of the family's 1533-position model. The record is from RNAcentral.
GAAACUCGCCUAUAUGAAGUCGGAAUUGCUAGUAAUCGCGGAUCAGCAUGCCGCGGUGAAUACGUUCCCGGGCCUUGUACACACCGCCCGUCACACCAUGAGAGUCGAUAACACCCGAAGCCUGUAGUCUAACAGCAAUGAGGACGCAGUCGAAGGUGGGAUUGAUAAUUAGGGUGAAGUCGUAACAAGGUACC